This 430-nucleotide ribosomal RNA is filed under the name Bacillota bacterium. Its description in RNAcentral is "Firmicutes bacterium partial 16S ribosomal RNA". It matches the Rfam family "Bacterial small subunit ribosomal RNA", at positions 355 to 776 of the family's 1533-position model. The record is from RNAcentral. Lineage: Bacteria; Bacillati; Bacillota.
UGGGGAAUAUUGGACAAUGGGCGGAAGCCUGAUCCAGCCAUGCCGCGUGUGUGAAGAAGGCCUUUUGGUUGUAAAGCACUUUAAGCGAGGAGGAGGCUACUUGGAUUAAUACUCUAGGAUAGUGGACGUUACUCGCAGAAUAAGCACCGGCUAACUCUGUGCCAGCAGCCGCGGUAAUACAGAGGGUGCGAGCGUUAAUCGGAUUUACUGGGCGUAAAGCGUGCGUAGGCGGCUUCUUAAGUCGGAUGUGAAAUCCCUGAGCUUAACUUAGGAAUUGCAUUCGAUACUGGGAAGCUAGAGUAUGGGAGAGGAUGGUAGAAUUCCAGGUGUAGCGGUGAAAUGCGUAGAGAUCUGGAGGAAUACCGAUGGCGAAGGCAGCCAUCUGGCCUACUACUGACGCUGAGGUACGAAAGCAUGGGGAGCAAACAGG